GCCUUGUUCGGUUGGGCCGUUCCCGGCCGGGAUCGGGGCCCAAUCCCCGUGGAUCACCUCGGCAAGGAAAAAAUCCCGGCCCAUGUGAAAUUGUGCAUUCGGUUAAGCCCUGACGUGGAUUUUAGCCUGGCCCACCACGGGGUUUCCCUCUUCUCUAGGCCCGGGAAAAAAUCAUCUACUCCUGGGGCGUGGAAAAUUUCCUCGGCGGCGCAACGAAGACGCGACGGAGGGGGCGGCGCGCGGCGCGACCUGGAGGCGAUGGCGACAGCGACGGGAAGGCUCUCUCCUCCGGCCGCCACCUUCUCUCCGGUGAGCACGCUGCCUUUCCCCUUCUCCCCUCCUCUUGCAAAGCUAGGAGAUGGGAACACUGCAGCUGGUGACUGAAGCUCAUGGUGGCAUUAGCGCUAAGCUUAAACACUUGCAUUCAAUUUGUAGUUUAGCUCCUAGCUGGCUACUUCUAUUUAUUCUAAAAAAACAACUGAACUGUAACCAUUUUGAUUACUUUGUGACACUUUCAUGUAUGCAUUUGUGAACGUACAGCAUGCAUGUGUGUUUUCCCUGUACUUAAACAAUGUUUUUUUUACCGGAUUUGAUCUGAGAGAAUGCAUAUUGUU
RNAcentral lists this long non-coding RNA (614 nucleotides) under Oryza sativa tropical japonica subgroup. RNAcentral's name for it is "lncRNA OsCMeo_02g0007930". The record is from RNAcentral. Lineage: Eukaryota; Viridiplantae; Streptophyta; Magnoliopsida; Poales; Poaceae. RNAcentral also lists the same sequence under 1 other name.